ACCGGCGACGGCCGACGGGUGAGGCCACCCCGCCAUGGCCAUCUCUCUCUCCCUCUCCAAACCAGGCGGCGGCAGUAAACCCUAGCCCGGUCAGCGUUCGUGGAGCGAGAUUCAGGCCGAAGAUGGUGGCUGCAGCUGCUGAACGACUGAUGGCCGCUUCCAUGCCCCUGGUGAGUUCCCUUGCUUCUUUGAUUUGGUUUAAUUUCGUUUUUGUUUUGAAGUCUUUGGCCCCUUUCUUUGUAGCCAAUGGAUUUUACUUAGAGGAGGACGCAUUUGGAUUGAGAUAUGUUUCACUGAAGCCAAUGGCUUCCGGCUUCCAGAAGUGGAUGAGUUUGGAUCAGAGGCUAGGUAUGGCACACGGAGGUUGUGUUACAGAUUAACCGCAUGUUUAUGUCCGUGUUGCGCUGCGCAGUAUGGUGUUGUCGACGGUCCUGGCAUGGUGCCGAGCACAGUUGGUGAGCAUGCGCAGCCUGUGUUCCUCACUUAACAACUGCACGACCUGGUGCCAAUGCCUUUUUCUCCUUAGGAAACACAACUUAGAUACUGUAAGUUGAUGCAGAUAAUUCAAAAAUCAAGUAAUGGAAUUUGCAAUCCAAUAACAAGCAUGUUGUAGAAAAUAAUCUCCUUCAUAAUAUCAUUAUUUUUAUUUCUUGGAAUUUGCACUUACAUAACACAACAAAACAGGGCAGGAAAUUGCGAGAUUACUUUUCUUGUUUGCAACUCUAGCAAUAAUAUGUUGCAAAAGGUGUAUUUGAUUUGUACAUUGCAACACAUAGAUGCUGCAAUGGACUUUUGGCUAUAGUGAGUGUUUGCUUCAAUCAACCAAUAGUAUUUACAAAAAAAAUUAGUUGAUUUGAAUCUCAAUAAACGUUGGAGAAAGUACUGCUCGGAUCUGUAGGCCUAUAUGUGAUAGGUCUGCCUGCCCUUUGUCUGUGAAGCACAGUCUAGAUAGUUUAAUGUGUUUUAAUCAAAUUCUCAUGGUUUCUGAAUAAAAAAAUAGCUUUGGGAUGAAUCUUAUGCACUUCAGAUUGGCGCUCCAGCUGAUUCGGCGCUUGUGGGGCCUGUUGUGGAUAGACCUAGGGUGCACAACAGGAAGUACAAGGGCGAAACAGGGAUGGACCGCAUUGGCCAUGCACUGGGUGGAUAGGACGUACUGUUUGACAAAUAGUAACAGAUUGUUUAAGUGUAACUUUUUGUUCUGAUUUGAUAUUAGACAAGUAUGAUAUGAAGGUGAGGUGUAGUUGGUUCUAGGUUUUGUCCAGCUUCAGGAAGAGAGAAAGCUGCUUAGUUUUUCAGUUCGUAUGUGGCUUUACAAAAUAGCUAUUGCACCGAGCACAUACAUUUGCAGCCCGUAAUAUUAUACGAUGUUAGCUUCAGUUCAUCACCUUUCAUUUCAUACUUCUUAUUUUUGUUACUACUCUGUGUAAGAAUAAACAAAUCCUAAUGGAUUUAGUGUGUUCCAUUCAUCACUUUACAGAUUUGCUGCUAACAGAUUCUUUAUGUUCCAUAAAAUGGGCAAUUGGCAGGGUUCAGUUUAGUUCCUAAGAGGAGAUGCAAAUCAAGUAGAUUAUGUACUGUGAUGUUUGCUUCUUUGCUAACUGCACAUGUGUUGUGGUAAGAUAUCAGCCGUAUGUAUGAGCAUUUCUGUAUUUGAGGAAUUCUCAUGCAAAUUUCUAGAUUUAAGGAAUUCUCGUGUAGAUUAUUAGUUUGCAUGAAGCAUACUAAACUCACUAUAAGCAAUAUAAAUUGUGCACCGAAGCAGAGCUUGUGACAGGGCAAAUGUGGUCCUUGAAAGCAGUAGCAGUGUAAGCAAGCGGAGAUAAAGGAGAGGCUCAAAAGAGUGCGUACAAUAGAUCUAUUUUUGAAAGUUAGUGUGGUACCAGAUUGUUCCAGGCUGACCGUGUAUCACCUCUAGAGUUGUCUUCUUACUCUACAAUAUGUUCGUAUAACUCCUAGCAUACUAGCACAACUAAUGAUCUCACCUUCCAAUGAAUGAUCUUAGCUGCAGAUAAAUUCAUCCUGCUACAAGUUUCUGUGUCAUUAGAUUUGAAGCUAUUUAGCUCAUAUUUUAACUUCCAUGUUGCAUGCUACUACAUAAUUACAUAAAUUCAUAUUAUUCUAUCGGUAAAAUGGACGGGCGCAGCAACGCGCACCAUCAUGGAAACAUGUUUCUGUGAGGAUGAGUUUUGAGUAAAGGGAAAAGUUUUCUUAAUAGCUAAUCACCAGCACAAUAUUAAUUGUUGGUUGUUCUAGAAUAUAUGAUCUACUGUGAUUAGGACAGGUAAAACACACACAAUUGCUUUUAUGAGGGAAGGAACGUGUGUUGUCACACUUUGGAAGUCCAUAUUCAUUUUGUUAGUGCUAGAAACUACAGUCCACAUCUUCAACUCAUAAGUGUCCAGUUUGGAUCAUACUUCCUCUGUUACAAAAAUAUAAGUCGUUUUAGUGAGCUAACAUAGCCUACUCAAAUAUCUUAUAUUUUGGUAAGGAGGUAGUACAUGAGAAGAAUCAUACUUGGUUAUAUGAUUGAUAAAAAUACUUUUUUCCUAUGAAUUACUCAUGCUCAUAUGUGAUAAAAAUCCUAAGUUUAUGGCUCAGGGUGGCCCUGUUGUGGACUGCCGAAUAGCUAUUUGGGCGUCAGCGGCAAAUUGAUCCAAUUCAUUGCCAGGCCAAUGGACCUUGCUGUGUGGACUCCACUUUUCUUUCCUUUGUAUUAUUUGCAAUACCUCAAUUCUUAGUAAUCCACUCAUGAUGCUGGUAGCAGAGUAAAUCUGGUUAUGUUUCCUCACUGUUGGUAGUUCCUCCACCUCCCCAACACGGCCAGCUCCUCCCCAGUUAUGUAUUCCAUUUCAUCGAGUGCUUCAGACACGUUGGCUACGAAUGGUUGGUCACAUAAUGAUGUGUGCGUCCUCUGCAUGUCCAGCACGGAAACUACUUGAAACAUGUUGCAUGUUUUCACCUUCACUCUUCAGCUCUGGUGCGAGCUCUUGGCCAUUGUGCGCCUGCCUCGAGUUUCCUGCCUGCCCAAAGACCUCACUGUCCCUCAACUGCUCCUCGAAACUCACAAGAUGGUGCCCAAGCUUGAGCAAAAAGGGUGUGAUGCGCUCUUACAGCUGACUUUGUGGUCAACAUGGAAUGAACUGAAAUGUGUUAAACCUUCAAGAUGAAAGCUUUCUCCGGCUCUACUUUCCAAAGUUUUCAUGCUUCAUAUGAUUUUUUUUAGAUGGCUUCAAAUGAAAUUCUGAUAUAGUGUGUUCUCACCGUGUUA
This is a long non-coding RNA of Lolium rigidum, 3268 nucleotides long. RefSeq lists it as uncharacterized. Lineage: Eukaryota; Viridiplantae; Streptophyta; Magnoliopsida; Poales; Poaceae. The transcript is spliced from 3 exons. The record is from RefSeq and is a predicted model, not a curated record.